Molecule: ribosomal RNA, 1547 nt
Filed under: Salmonella enterica subsp. enterica serovar Heidelberg
Lineage: Bacteria; Pseudomonadati; Pseudomonadota; Gammaproteobacteria; Enterobacterales; Enterobacteriaceae
Description: partial 23S ribosomal RNA
Rfam family: Bacterial large subunit ribosomal RNA
Source: RNAcentral
AGACCCGAAACCCGGUGAUCUAGCCAUGGGCAGGUUGAAGGUUGGGUAACACUAACUGGAGGACCGAACCGACUAAUGUUGAAAAAUUAGCGGAUGACCUGUGGCUGGGGGUGAAAGGCCAAUCAAACCGGGAGAUAGCUGGUUCUCCCCGAAAGCUAUUUAGGUAGCGCCUCGUGAAUUCAUCUCCGGGGGUAGAGCACUGUUUCGGCUAGGGGGCCAUCCCGGCUUACCAACCCGAUGCAAACUGCGAAUACCGGAGAAUGUUAUCACGGGAGACACACGGCGGGUGCUAACGUCCGUCGUGAAGAGGGAAACAACCCAGACCGCCAGCUAAGGUCCCAAAGUCAUGGUUAAGUGGGAAACGAUGUGGGAAGGCCCAGACAGCCAGGAUGUUGGCUUAGAAGCAGCCAUCAUUUAAAGAAAGCGUAAUAGCUCACUGGUCGAGUCGGCCUGCGCGGAAGAUGUAACGGGGCUAAACCAUGCACCGAAGCUGCGGCAGCGACGCUGAUGCGUUGUUGGGUAGGGGAGCGUUCUGUAAGCCUGCGAAGGUGACCUGUGAGGGUUGCUGGAGGUAUCAGAAGUGCGAAUGCUGACAUAAGUAACGAUAAAGCGGGUGAAAAGCCCGCUCGCCGGAAGACCAAGGGUUCCUGUCCAACGUUAAUCGGGGCAGGGUGAGUCGACCCCUAAGGCGAGGCCGAAAGGCGUAGUCGAUGGGAAACGGGUUAAUAUUCCCGUACUUGGUGUUACUGCGAAGGGGGGACGGAGAAGGCUAUGUUGGCCGGGCGACGGUUGUCCCGGUUUAAGCGUGUAGGUGUGUGUUCCAGGUAAAUCCGGUUCACUUUAACACUGAGGCGUGAUGACGAGGCACUACGGUGCUGAAGCAACAAAUGCCCUGCUUCCAGGAAAAGCCUCUAAGCAUCAGGUAACAUCAAAUCGUACCCCAAACCGACACAGGUGGUCAGGUAGAGAAUACCAAGGCGCUUGAGAGAACUCGGGUGAAGGAACUAGGCAAAAUGGUGCCGUAACUUCGGGAGAAGGCACGCUGACACGUAGGUGAAGUGAUUUACUCACGGAGCUGAAGUCAGUCGAAGAUACCAGCUGGCUGCAACUGUUUAUUAAAAACACAGCACUGUGCAAACACGAAAGUGGACGUAUACGGUGUGACGCCUGCCCGGUGCCGGAAGGUUAAUUGAUGGGGUCAGCGCAAGCGAAGCUCCUGAUCGAAGCCCCGGUAAACGGCGGCCGUAACUAUAACGGUCCUAAGGUAGCGAAAUUCCUUGUCGGGUAAGUUCCGACCUGCACGAAUGGCGUAAUGAUGGCCAGGCUGUCUCCACCCGAGACUCAGUGAAAUUGAACUCGCUGUGAAGAUGCAGUGUACCCGCGGCAAGACGGAAAGACCCCGUGAACCUUUACUAUAGCUUGACACUGAACAUUGAGCCUUGAUGUGUAGGAUAGGUGGGAGGCUUUGAAGUGUGGACGCCAGUCUGCAUGGAGCCGACCUUGAAAUACCACCCUUUAAUGUUUGAUGUUCUAACGUGGACCCGUUA